AAUGGCCUGGUGGCGUCAUGUCUUUGGACCUUAUUGACAUUG
RNAcentral lists this small RNA (42 nucleotides) under Arabidopsis thaliana (thale cress). Its description in RNAcentral is "ATSL087060". Lineage: Eukaryota; Viridiplantae; Streptophyta; Magnoliopsida; Brassicales; Brassicaceae. The record is from RNAcentral.